GAUGAACGCUGGCGGCGUGCCUAAUACAUGCAAGUCGAGCGAACAGACGAGGAGCUUGCUCCUCUGACGUUAGCGGCGGACGGGUGAGUAACACGUGGAUAACCUACCUAUAAGACUGGGAUAACUUCGGGAAACCGGAGCUAAUACCGGAUAAUAUAUUGAACCGCAUGGUUCAAUAGUGAAAGACGGUUUUGCUGUCACUUAUAGAUGGAUCCGCGCCGCAUUAGCUAGUUGGUAAGGUAACGGCUUACCAAGGCAACGAUGCGUAGCCGACCUGAGAGGGGGAUCGGCCACACUGGAACUGAGACACGGUCCAGACUCCUACGGGAGGCAGCAGUAGGGAAUCUUCCGCAAUGGGCGAAAGCUUGACGGAGCAACGCCGCGUGAGUGAUGAAGGUCUUCGGAUCGUAAAACUCUGUUAUUAGGGAAGAACAAAUGUGUAAGUAACUAUGCACGUCUUGACGGUACCUAAGCAGAAAGCCACGGCUAACUACGU
This 496-nucleotide ribosomal RNA is filed under the name uncultured bacterium. RNAcentral describes it as "partial 16S ribosomal RNA". It matches the Rfam family "Bacterial small subunit ribosomal RNA", at positions 28 to 506 of the family's 1533-position model. The record is from RNAcentral.